Molecule: ribosomal RNA, 265 nt
Filed under: uncultured archaeon
Lineage: Archaea
Description: partial 16S ribosomal RNA
Rfam family: Archaeal small subunit ribosomal RNA
Source: RNAcentral
AGUCACUGACAUUAGAUACCCGGGUAGUCCUAGCCGUAAACGAUACUCGCUAGGUGUCGGCCACGGUGCGACCGUUGUCGGUGCCGUAGGGAAGCCGUGAAGCGAGCCACCUGGGAAGUACGGCCGCAAGGCUGAAACUUAAAGGAAUUGGCGGGGGAGCACCACAACGGGUGGAGCUUGCGGUUUAAUUGGAUUCAACGCCGGAAAUCUUACCGGGACCGGCAGCAACAUGAAGGCCAAGCUGAAGACUUUGCCGGAUUAGCUG